This is a long non-coding RNA of Priapulus caudatus, 1083 nucleotides long. RefSeq lists it as uncharacterized. The record is from RefSeq and is a predicted model, not a curated record. The transcript has 3 exons. Lineage: Eukaryota; Metazoa; Priapulida; Priapulimorpha; Priapulimorphida; Priapulidae.
AGAUGCGUUUCACACUCGGACCCUCGCAGUUUUAUUGUGGGUCUAGGUUAUACAUGCUACAGAGGAUUCCCUGCGCGGGGUCAACCAAUGGGAUGCGCCGAUAUUUUGGUUUGCGAAGAGAAAUAUCACAGCUGAAACGCUGUUCGAAAAUUUUCACGACAGCGCUGGUCGCGCAUUGGAUGACGUCACCCAGGAUUCUGGCAACGAGGAAGCUGACAACGCAUCUAGCAGAUGUUAGCGAUGACAGCAACGAGGCCAGCGCGCACCCGGGCAGCGUGCGUGAUGCGCACCGGAGACAGCGCAGAAAAUGGUGACGUCAUGAAAUCGAAAUAUCACCGAGAGCACGGUGACGUGGACAACGGUUCGCACGGUGACGUGGACAACGGUUCGCACGACGUCGAAGAAAGUACAACGACAGCGGAUGGUGGACAUCAUGACGUCAGAGAUCCCAUCAAGCGUUCGAUUCGGCGAGGGCUUCAUCACAGAAGAAUGGAGUACUCUUAACAUAUGGGCCGCACGCUAGCUGCAUUAAUACAACGACUAUACGAUACGUUCUAUAACGUACCGAUAAGGAGCCACACUGGUCCAAUCUUUACCAUGAACAAUAAUAAUUGCUGUUUUCCACGUUCGUCUCUUUUAUCAAAUUGCAUGCUAACUAGAGGUGUCCCACUAGAGGAAUCUAACUAGUGUAAUUCUCCAGAAUAUAUAUAGGGACAUUUUCUUUAAAAAUACGAAAUAUUUGUGAUGAUGAAGCAGCAAGCGGUGUUGUACCGAUGUCGUUUUUACGGCUUCCACAUCUUACGAAGCUCUCUCGUUAAGAUGACCGAAUAUUAUUACCAGCUUCACUAAUGACAAUAUCGUGAAACGUGAAUUGUCAGCUAAAAAUUCUAUACGUGCACGCGCAUGCGUAAUUAAGAGCACCUGGCGUGUGUCGCUAUCGUUGUGUAACUAAACUCCUAUUAAGCAAUAUUCUAAUUAAUAAUUUAUUCACUUUUUUCUGGUCUACUCUACGCUCAUGCUUGUGAGACGUGAGCGCUGCCGUGCUCGAAAUAUACGCUAGAAGAAUGCACAAUGGCACCGCCG